Non-coding RNA from Pelobates cultripes (western spadefoot toad), 222 nucleotides. NCBI's taxonomy places the organism in Eukaryota, Metazoa, Chordata, Amphibia, Anura, Pelobatidae. The record is from the annotation of a GenBank genome assembly.
UCUGUACCAGGGAAGAAAGUGGUCAGUCAGAAACUCCACAUACUUUGCAGAGGUCAUCUUUACACCUUCGGGGAACCUAAAGGGGCUGAUCAGCUCUCUUCCCAUGAUUUUGGCCCAAAACAUGACUCCACCACUGCCUUGCUGAUGUCACAGCCUUGUUGGAACAGGGUGGCCGUCCACCAACCAUCCAUUACUCCAUCCAUCUGGACCAUCCAGGGUUGC